Molecule: unclassified non-coding RNA, 12518 nt
Filed under: Leishmania donovani
Lineage: Eukaryota; Euglenozoa; Kinetoplastea; Trypanosomatida; Trypanosomatidae
Description: gene:LdHU3.34.3950(CDS-product:hypothetical_prote in_conserved)
Source: RNAcentral
GUGAGGUUCCGACCAGUGCUUUUGCUCCUUUUUUUGUGUGUGCCUUGACGACGAGUAAGGCAACGCCGAGAUUCUCAUUUCGCCUCGUUGACCUCUCUCUCUUUCCCUGAUGUGCAAAUCUGGCAACUAAGCACCCCCGCCUCUCCCUUACACCACAUCGACACACACACACACACACAUACGCACACAAAAGAAAAACAAACCGAAACCAAGCGGGAAAAAAGAGGCAAGAGACAGGGGUCAUUCUUUACAUCAGCUCUCUGCUCACCCUCUUUUUUUGUUCCUAGCGCAGAGAACUCGCUUCUCCGGCCCCCUUUUUGUUUCGCCUGGCACAUCGCCCUUUCCGUUUUAGCGCAACCUCAUUAGAUUCAAAGUCUACUCCGAAAGGAUCCCAUCGCUUCCGCGCGUUUUGGCUUUGUAAAGUCUCCUUCUCGCUGUAUUGCUCUUCAUACGUGUACCCUCUUUUCCGUCUGCGUCUGGUUUGACGCUUCAUCACGCGCGUCCACCACACGGGUCGACGACACAAGUUUGUAUCUCCACCUUCGUCUCCCGACUUUCUCUUCUUUCGAGGCUACUCGGUGCUCUCUCAUAAAGAGAAUUCGGAGUUUUCUUUUUUUUUUCUAGCUUACGCCUUGCCUUUUUUUUGUUCAAGGAUACGAAAUUGAGCAGUCGGAGAGUUCCCCUACGUUUCCUUUGCUCCGUCUCCGGCUGCUUUCGAGACCCUUCCUUUUUAUUUGAAAAAAAAUUUUUGGUCUCCUCCCUCCCGGCCUAUUAGCGUUGACGUGUGCCUUGAGCCUACACACCCCGCUCUCUUUUUUUUUAUUCUAAAUUGAUCGAUCUACUUGUGUACGCACCUCCUCCUUCCCUCUUCGUUCUCUCCGCGAUUACACCACCUAGAUUUCCUUUUUUGUGUACUAACAAAUCCUUUUCGUGUCAAACGUUUGUCUGUUUCACUCUAGAUCCCUGUCUUUUGGCUGUCGCCUUUCUUUUUUUACACCCCUCGUCCUUUUUCAGAUACCAGCACGAGAUACCGAGACACUUUUUCCGCCUCGUUGUGUGUGUGUGUGUGCUUUUGCUCUUCGCCACUUUUCGUUUCAUCCGCACCACUCUCUCCCGAGACCAAAGGCCGCUCGCUUCCCUCCUCACCCUCGGAAAGUGAGAAGACCAACAACAAACCGAAGAAACGCGAAAAGACUGAACAAUUCGUGGCUGCCCUUUUUUACCAAUUUGCCUUUCCUCGCCGUUUACUGUUGAGCGCUGUGCCUCUGCUCCGUCUUUCUCUCUCUGCGUGUGCGUGUGGGUGUACGCCCCGUUUUGAUAUUUUUUUUUCGUUUCUUCGGUUUCGUCACCAUUCGCCUUUUUUUGUCUGUUUCCUUUCCCACCCUUGUACUCUGUCUGCCUCCCCCCCUUCUUUGUAUCUCUCACCAGUAAGUUGGCUGCGCAUAUACACACACACACAUUCAUGGUGUGUGUGUUUCUCUCUCUCUCUGUGUCCGAAGAUUUUUUUCCAUUUUUUUUGAUUUCUUUCAAAGUGAGCUGGCCAAGGAGGGCAAGGAAAACCAAGAGAGUCCCAGCGUAAACACACACGCGCACACACGCACGCACACUCGCUUCGUUUCCUUUUUUUUUCCUUGUUCUUCAGUGUCUGCCUUUUUUUUUGGUGUGUGUUGCUCGCUCGCUCUCGGGUGUCGAAGACUUGCCUCAUUCCUGAUUGGUACACAUUUACACGUGCGUAUUGUCGCUGGUCCUCCCCUUCCCUUACCUCCCUCCGAAGUACACAGUAAAACGCACCGUGCUUCUCCCUUUUCUUUGCUGUCUUCCUUUUCGUGCUCUUCGCAGCCGUGCGCCUAGUGUUUGCCGUUCCAAAAGUCGCUCAGCACAAAGAAGCAUCGAGGAUACCGAGCCUGACAGGUCUUACAGUCAAAGGCCUUCUUCCUUUAGUCGUCCCCCCUUUCUCAAUCAAGACAUCUUCCCCACACUCCUUCGUCAGCACUACUGCUAAGAAGGGCCGUGGUUUGCGCAACGAGACACUCGCCCACAAGGAGCCCGCCGGCCGGAAACCCCAAACUACAGUUUCAUCUGCCCCCACGACUUCCCUUAAUCGCAUAUAUACACUCAGCUUCACACAGCUGGCGCUGGGAAGAGUCGCGAACGGUUAAUAUGGGGUCCAUCUCUCCUGCACGGCCGUCGAUAGAACCCUCGCUGCGGGUUCGCGAGCCGUCUGCCGCCAACACUCGCUACGAGAAGACAUCCGUGCCCAGCGGCUACUGCAGCCCAGGACUUGCCGUGGAGGAAGCGGCCUCACUAGAGCCAGCAGGAUGCAUUUUCGCGACCACUGUUGCUGAGGAAUUCGUGCGCGCAGACGCCAUGACAGUAUCGAUGGCCACAACCCCUCUGGCGAGCGUGCAAUGCACACCGCGGCUGCCAAGAGGCAAAGAAAAUGCAGCCAAGUCUACCGAGUCCAUCCUGGGCCACUGCAAACCAGCGCGAUCACCACGUCCGUCGCAGGUGACGGAGCUCCGCUUGACUACAAAUGAAGUUGGCGUGCUGACCACACCGCACGUGGGCCAUGGCCUUCAGACACGCGCUGCUUCUGCUGCUUGCGGCACUCGUCGCAGUUUCACUGACAAAACCGACGGCUCUCUGACUAAAAUGGCGCUCUCCACUGUUCUCCGCCCGCGGGGAAACAGCUUAUGCGAGCCGGACAGUCUCGACCUCUUGUCUGCAGUGGGGCAAUCCGAUGUCGGCAUGGACGACUUCGCCCCCACUGCCGCCUCCUUUCAGCUCACAUGCGAGGGGACUAAGUGGUGUGCUGUGGUCGCCGCGCACAUAGAAGCCGUGCACCGGCUCGCAACAAUCGAUAUCACAUCGUCAUGUGGGGUCGCCACAGGCGAGCUUUCUAAACUGACAAUGAUAGCCACCGAGAAAGCCGGGCUUCAAAUUUGCUUCCAGCUUGCUACGUGGGGUGAUGCACAGCGCGAAAUCACCUUUCGUCGUCGGCUGGAGAUGUGUGAGUUACAGCGUCUUACAAGACUCUACCAGACAUUUGUCGCCACGCCGAUGUCGCCUCCACCAGCGGAUGGAGAGAACAAACAAUGGCCUCCACGCUCUCUGGAGGAUGAUUCUCACCUUCCUGAAGGAGUCGUCGCUUCCAACACCAACAAUCACCGCAGGAUCAGCGAAGAUCGCCGGCAACUCGUUUCAGAGUUCGAGACAACAUUGGAAGAUAUGCAAUCUAUGCUGCUCCAGAAGGAACAGGAGCUUCAGCACCUGGCCUCCCAGCUCGAGGAGGAGCGUCGUUGCAGUGGGCAGAAUGUAGCGGACUUGCAGAGCCAACUAAUCACAAUGCGCCUGGAUCAUGCGUGCAUGGAUAAAGAGCUCGAGAGCAUCUCUACAGCUCUCAUCGACACGCAAGAGUCCUGCAACGUACUGCGACAGCUCGUCACCGAAAGUGAGGAACAACACCGGUUUCACACACAGCAGGCACAACAAGAAUACACAGCACUCCAAAAGGAACAAGCGCACCUCAUCGACCACUACGAAGCUCAGAUUACCUCGUUAAACGAGCAGCUACGAGAGGCUCACAAAACACUUGAUGCGCUUCACAACGCAGACAUCACCGACACCCCCUGCGCUCUCGUGCGAGCAGACACACAAAACUUGAACACUCCCUUCACUGCACACCCUGAGCAGAAUAACAAGCACAACGCGCUUAGCCUCUACACGCACGGCAUCGUGGAUGCGGUGCGCAGCGAGUACGAGGCGCAGACUACUGAGCUUGUGGACUCCGCGGAGCUUGUGGAGGCGCGCGACGCGCUGGGGGCGGCGGAGCAGCGCUGCGCCGCGCUGGCCGCUGCCCACGCGGAGGCUGUUGCUGCGCUGGAGGCGAAGAGCGCUGCGUCGGAGAGCGAGCUGGCCGCUGCGCGCGACGCGAUGCGUGCUGCCGAGGAGCGGCUGGCGGACGCGGACGCCGAGCAUGCCCGCGUGGUUGCUGCGCUGGAGGCGAAGAGCGCUGCGUCGGAGAGCGAGCUGGCCGCUGCGCGCGACGCGAUGCGUGCUGCUGAGGAGCGGCUGGCGGACGCGGACGCCGAGCAUGCCCGCGUGGUUGCUGCGCUGGAGGCGAAGGCGUGUGCUGCCGAGCGUGAGGCCGCUGCUGCUCGCGCAAAGCAGGAGGCGGUUGUGAGGUGCACGCGCGGCAUCGUGGAUGCGGUGCGCAGCGAGUACGAGGCGCAGACUGCUGAGCUUGUGGACUCCGCGGAGCUUGUGGAGGCGCGCGACGCGCUGGGGGCGGCGGAGCAGCGCUGCGCCGCGCUGGCCGCUGCCCACGCGGAGGCUGUUGCUGCGCUGGAGGCGAAGAGCGCUGCGUCGGAGAGCGAGCUGGCCGCUGCGCGCGACGCGAUGCGUGCUGCCGAGGAGCGGCUGGCGGACGCGGACGCCGAGCAUGCCCGCGUGGUUGCUGCGCUGGAGGCGAAGAGCGCUGCGUCGGAGAGCGAGCUGGCCGCUGCGCGCGACGCGAUGCGUGCUGCUGAGGAGCGGCUGGCGGACGCGGACGCCGAGCAUGCCCGCGUGGUUGCUGCGCUGGAGGCGAAGGCGUGUGCUGCCGAGCGUGAGGCCGCUGCUGCUCGCGCAAAGCAGGAGGCGGUUGUGAGGUGCACGCGCGGCAUCGUGGAUGCGGUGCGCAGCGAGUACGAGGCGCAGACUGCUGAGCUUGUGGACUCCGCGGAGCUUGUGGAGGCGCGCGACGCGCUGGGGGCGGCGGAGCAGCGCUGCGCCGCGCUGGCCGCUGCCCACGCGGAGGCUGUUGCUGCGCUGGAGGCGAAGAGCGCUGCGUCGGAGAGCGAGCUGGCCGCUGCGCGCGACGCGAUGCGUGCUGCCGAGGAGCGGCUGGCGGACGCGGACGCCGAGCAUGCCCGCGUGGUUGCUGCGCUGGAGGCGAAGGCGUGUGCUGCCGAGCGUGAGGCCGCUGCUGCUCGCGCAAAGCAGGAGGCGGUUGUGAGGUGCACGCGCGGCAUCGUGGAUGCGGUGCGCAGCGAGUACGAGGCGCAGACUGCUGAGCUUGUGGACUCCGCGGAGCUUGUGGAGGCGCGCGACGCGCUGGGGGCGGCGGAGCAGCGCUGCGCCGCGCUGGCCGCUGCCCACGCGGAGGCUGUUGCUGCGCUGGAGGCGAAGAGCGCUGCGUCGGAGAGCGAGCUGGCCGCUGCGCGCGACGCGAUGCGUGCUGCCGAGGAGCGGCUGGCGGACGCGGACGCCGAGCAUGCCCGCGUGGUUGCUGCGCUGGAGGCGAAGAGCGCUGCGUCGGAGAGCGAGCUGGCCGCUGCGCGCGACGCGAUGCGUGCUGCUGAGGAGCGGCUGGCGGACGCGGACGCCGAGCAUGCCCGCGUGGUUGCUGCGCUGGAGGCGAAGAGCGCUGCGUCGGAGAGCGAGCUGGCCGCUGCGCGCGACGCGAUGCGUGCUGCCGAGGAGCGGCUGGCGGACGCGGACGCCGAGCAUGCCCGCGUGGUUGCUGCGCUGGAGGCGAAGGCGUGUGCUGCCGAGCGUGAGGCCGCUGCUGCUCGCGCAAAGCAGGAGGCGGUUGUGAGGUGCACGCGCGGCAUCGUGGAUGCGGUGCGCAGCGAGUACGAGGCGCAGACUGCUGAGCUUGUGGACUCCGCGGAGCUUGUGGAGGCGCGCGACGCGCUGAGGGCGGCGGAGCAGCGCUGCGCCGCGCUGGCCGCUGCCCACGCGGAGGCUGUUGCUGCGCUGGAGGCGAAGAGCGCUGCGUCGGAGAGCGAGCUGGCCGCUGCGCGCGACGCGAUGCGUGCUGCCGAGGAGCGGCUGGCGGACGCGGACGCCGAGCAUGCCCGCGUGGUUGCUGCGCUGGAGGCGAAGAGCGCUGCGUCGGAGAGCGAGCUGGCCGCUGCGCGCGACGCGAUGCGUGCUGCUGAGGAGCGGCUGGCGGACGCGGACGCCGAGCAUGCCCGCGUGGUUGCUGCGCUGGAGGCGAAGAGCGCUGCGUCGGAGAGCGAGCUGGCCGCUGCGCGCAACGCGAUGCGUGCUGCCGAGGAGCGGCUGGCGGACGCGGACGCCGAGCAUGCCCGCGUGGUUGCUGCGCUGGAGGCGAAGGCGUGUGCUGCCGAGCGUGAGGCCGCUGCUGCUCGCGCAAAGCAGGAGGCGGUUGUGAGGUGCACGCGCGGCAUCGUGGAUGCGGUGCGCAGCGAGUACGAGGCGCAGACUGCUGAGCUUGUGGACUCCGCGGAGCUUGUGGAGGCGCGCGACGCGCUGGGGGCGGCGGAGCAGCGCUGCGCCGCGCUGGCCGCUGCCCACGCGGAGGCUGUUGCUGCGCUGGAGGCGAAGAGCGCUGCGUCGGAGAGCGAGCUGGCCGCUGCGCGCGACGCGAUGCGUGCUGCCGAGGAGCGGCUGGCGGACGCGGACGCCGAGCAUGCCCGCGUGGUUGCUGCGCUGGAGGCGAAGGCGUGUGCUGCCGAGCGUGAGGCCGCUGCUGCUCGCGCAAAGCAGGAGGCGGUUGUGAGGUGCACGCGCGGCAUCGUGGAUGCGGUGCGCAGCGAGUACGAGGCGCAGACUGCUGAGCUUGUGGACUCCGCGGAGCUUGUGGAGGCGCGCGACGCGCUGGGGGCGGCGGAGCAGCGCUGCGCCGCGCUGGCCGCUGCCCACGCGGAGGCUGUUGCUGCGCUGGAGGCGAAGAGCGCUACGUCGGAGAGCGAGCUGGCCGCUGCGCGCGACGCGAUGCGUGCUGCCGAGGAGCGGCUGGCGGACGCGGACGCCGAGCAUGCCCGCGUGGUUGCUGCGCUGGAGGCGAAGGCGUGUGCUGCCGAGCGUGAGGCCGCUGCUGCUCGCGCAAAGCAGGAGGCGGUUGUGAGGUGCACGCGCGGCAUCGUGGAUGCGGUGCGCAGCGAGUACGAGGCGCAGACUGCUGAGCUUGUGGACUCCGCGGAGCUUGUGGAGGCGCGCGACGCGCUGGGGCGGCGGAGCAGCGCUGCGCCGCGCUGGCCGCUGCCCACGCGGAGGCUGUUGCUGCGCUGGAGGCGAAGAGCGCUGCGUCGGAGAGCGAGCUGGCCGCUGCGCGCGACGCGAUGCGUGCUGCCGAGGAGCGGCUGGCGGACGCGGACGCCGAGCAUGCCCGCGUGGUUGCUGCGCUGGAGGCGAAGGCGUGUGCUGCCGAGCGUGAGGCCGCUGCUGCUCGCGCAAAGCAGGAGGCGGUUGUGAGGUGCACGCGCGGCAUCGUGGAUGCGGUGCGCAGCGAGUACGAGGCGCAGACUGCUGAGCUUGUGGACUCCGCGGAGCUUGUGGAGGCGCGCGACGCGCUGGGGGCGGCGGAGCAGCGCUGCGCCGCGCUGGCCGCUGCCCACGCGGAGGCUGUUGCUGCGCUGGAGGCGAAGAGCGCUGCGUCGGAGAGCGAGCUGGCCGCUGCGCGCGACGCGAUGCGUGCUGCCGAGGAGCGGCUGGCGGACGCGGACGCCGAGCAUGCCCGCGUGGUUGCUGCGCUGGAGGCGAAGGCGUGUGCUGCCGAGCGUGAGGCCGCUGCUGCUCGCGCAAAGCAGGAGGCGGUUGUGAGGUGCACGCGCGGCAUCGUGGAUGCGGUGCGCAGCGAGUACGAGGCGCAGACUGCUGAGCUUGUGGACUCCGCGGAGCUUGUGGAGGCGCGCGACGCGCUGGGGGCGGCGGAGCAGCGCUGCGCCGCGCUGGCCGCUGCCCACGCGGAGGCUGUUGCUGCGCUGGAGGCGAAGAGCGCUGCGUCGGAGAGCGAGCUGGCCGCUGCGCGCGACGCGAUGCGUGCUGCCGAGGAGCGGCUGGCGGACGCGGACGCCGAGCAUGCCCGCGUGGUUGCUGCGCUGGAGGCGAAGAGCGCUGCGUCGGAGAGCGAGCUGGCCGCUGCGCGCAACGCGAUGCGUGCUGCCGAGGAGCGGCUGGCGGACGCGGACGCCGAGCAUGCCCGCGUGGUUGCUGCGCUGGAGGCGAAGAGCGCUGCGUCGGAGAGCGAGCUGGCCGCUGCGCGCAACGCGAUGCGUGCUGCCGAGGAGCGGCUGGCGGACGCGGACGCCGAGCAUGCCCGCGUGGUUGCUGCGCUGGAGGCGAAGAGCGCUGCGUCGGAGAGCGAGCUGGCCGCUGCGCGCAACGCGAUGCGUGCUGCCGAGGAGCGGCUGGCGGACGCGGACGCCGAGCAUGCCCGCGUGGUUGCUGCGCUGGAGGCGAAGAGCGCUGCGUCGGAGAGCGAGCUGGCCGCUGCGCGCAACGCGAUGCGUGCUGCCGAGGAGCGGCUGGCGGACGCGGACGCCGAGCAUGCCCGCGUGGUUGCUGCGCUGGAGGCGAAGAGCGCUGCGUCGGAGAGCGAGCUGGCCGCUGCGCGCAACGCGAUGCGUGCUGCCGAGGAGCGGCUGGCGGACGCGGACGCCGAGCAUGCCCGCGUGGUUGCUGCGCUGGAGGCGAAGAGCGCUGCGUCGGAGAGCGAGCUGGCCGCUGCGCGCGACGCGAUGCGUGCUGCCGAGGAGCGGCUGGCGGACGCGGACGCCGAGCAUGCCCGCGUGGUUGCUGCGCUGGAGGCGAAGAGCGCUGCGUCGGAGAGCGAGCUGGCCGCUGCGCGCAACGCGAUGCGUGCUGCCGAGGAGCGGCUGGCGGACGCGGACGCCGAGCAUGCCCGCGUGGUUGCUGCGCUGGAGGCGAAGAGCGCUGCGUCGGAGAGCGAGCUGGCCGCUGCGCGCAACGCGAUGCGUGCUGCCGAGGAGCGGCUGGCGGACGCGGACGCCGAGCAUGCCCGCGUGGUUGCUGCGCUGGAGGCGAAGGCGUGUGCUGCCGAGCGUGAGGCCGCUGCUGCUGCGCGCGACGCGAUGCGUGCUGCCGAGGAGCGGCUGGCGGACGCGGACGCCGAGCAUGCCCGCGUGGUUGCUGCGCUGGAGGCGAAGAGCGCUGCGUCGGAGAGCGAGCUGGCCGCUGCGCGCAACGCGAUGCGUGCUGCCGAGGAGCGGCUGGCGGACGCGGACGCCGAGCAUGCCCGCGUGGUUGCUGCGCUGGAGGCGAAGAGCGCUGCGUCGGAGAGCGAGCUGGCCGCUGCGCGCAACGCGAUGCGUGCUGCCGAGGAGCGGCUGGCGGACGCGGACGCCGAGCAUGCCCGCGUGGUUGCUGCGCUGGAGGCGAAGGCGUGUGCUGCCGAGCGUGAGGCCGCUGCUGCUGCGCGCGACGCGAUGCGUGCUGCCGAGGAGCGGCUGGCGGACGCGGACGCCGAGCAUGCCCGCGUGGUUGCUGCGCUGGAGGCGAAGAGCGCUGCGUCGGAGAGCGAGCUGGCCGCUGCGCGCGACGCGAUGCGUGCUGCUGAGGAGCGGCUGGCGGACGCGGACGCCGAGCAUGCCCGCGUGGUUGCUGCGCUGGAGGCGAAGAGCGCUGCGUCGGAGAGCGAGCUGGCCGCUGCGCGCAACGCGAUGCGUGCUGCCGAGGAGCGGCUGGCGGACGCGGACGCCGAGCAUGCCCGCGUGGUUGCUGCGCUGGAGGCGAAGGCGUGUGCUGCCGAGCGUGAGGCCGCUGCUGCUCGCGCAAAGCAGGAGGCGGUUGUGAGGUGCACGCGCGGCAUCGUGGAUGCGGUGCGCAGCGAGUACGAGGCGCAGACUGCUGAGCUUGUGGACUCCGCGGAGCUUGUGGAGGCGCGCGACGCGCUGGGGGCGGCGGAGCAGCGCUGCGCCGCGCUGGCCGCUGCCCACGCGGAGGCUGUUGCUGCGCUGGAGGCGAAGAGCGCUGCGUCGGAGAGCGAGCUGGCCGCUGCGCGCGACGCGAUGCGUGCUGCCGAGGAGCGGCUGGCGGACGCGGACGCCGAGCAUGCCCGCGUGGUUGCUGCGCUGGAGGCGAAGAGCGCUGCGUCGGAGAGCGAGCUGGCCGCUGCGCGCGACGCGAUGCGUGCUGCCGAGGAGCGGCUGGCGGACGCGGACGCCGAGCAUGCCCGCGUGGUUGCUGCGCUGGAGGCGAAGAGCGCUGCGUCGGAGAGCGAGCUGGCUGCUGCGCGCGACGGGAUGCGUGCUGCUGAGGAGCGGCUGGCGGACGCGGACGCCGAGCAUGCCCGCGUGGUUGCUGCGCUGGAGGCGAAGGCGUGUGCUGCCGAGCGUGAGGCCGCUGCUGCUCGCGCAAAGCAGGAGGCGGUUGUGAGGUGCACGCGCGGCAUCGUGGAUGCGGUGCGCAGCGAGUACGAGGCGCAGACUGCUGAGCUUGUGGACUCCGCGGAGCUUGUGGAGGCGCGCGACGCGCUUGGGGCGGCGGAGCAGCGCUGCGCCGCGCUGGCCGCUGCCCACGCGAAGGCUGUUGCUGCGCUGGAGGCGAAGAGCGCUGCGUCGGAGAGCGAGCUGGCCGCUGCGCGCGACGCGAUGCGUGCUGCUGAGGAGCGGCUGGCGGACGCGGACGCCGAGCAUGCCCGCGUGGUUGCUGCGCUGGAGGCGAAGGCGUGUGCUGCCGAGCGUGAGGCCGCUGCUGCUCGCGCAAAGCAGGAGGCGGUUGUGAGGUGCACGCGCGGCAUCGUGGAUGCGGUGCGCAGCGAGUACGAGGCGCAGACUGCUGAGCUUGUGGACUCCGCGGAGCUUGUGGAGGCGCGCGACGCGCUUGGGGCGGCGGAGCAGCGCUGCGCCGCGCUGGCCGCUGCCCACGCGAAGGCUGUUGCUGCGCUGGAGGCGAAGAGCGCUGCGUCGGAGAGCGAGCUGGCCGCUGCGCGCGACGCGAUGCGUGCUGCCGAGGAGCGGCUGGCGGACGCGGACGCCGAGCAUGCCCGCGUGGUUGCUGCGCUGGAGGCGAAGAGCGCUGCGUCGGAGAGCGAGCUGGCCGCUGCGCGCGACGCGAUGCGUGCUGCUGAGGAGCGGCUGGCGGACGCGGACGCCGAGCAUGCCCGCGUGGUUGCUGCGCUGGAGGCGAAGAGCGCUGCGUCGGAGAGCGAGCUGGCCGCUGCGCGCGACGCGAUGCGUGCUGCCGAGGAGCGGCUGGCGGACGCGGACGCCGAGCAUGCCCGCGUGGUUGCUGCGCUGGAGGCGAAGAGCGCUGCGUCGGAGAGCGAGCUGGCGGCUGCUCGGGUGGCGUUAUGCUGUGCUGCUGAAGGGUGCUUUGAGAAGGCUUCUCCCCUGCUUCGUGUGUGCGAUUCUCGUGAGUGUUUCGUUGCUGGAGUGCAGUAUGGUGUUGAAGUUCUUCGGGAUGGGUUUGAAUCGCGUGCGAAUGAAGUGGUGGGCUGUACCCGCCGAAUCGUUAGUGCGAGAGCUGCUGUGGAGGCUGCUCGGCGGAGGUGUGCGGAGGUGAGCUCAAAGUUGACGCAAGCGAAGGCAGGUGGUGACGAUGAAAAGGAGUUCUGUAGUGGAGAGCUUGUUGCGGCCCAUGCUGAGUUGAGAGCCGUGAUGGAGCGCUACCUCGAGGCCGAGGCGGCAGUCGAUGAAGAGGAGGCCGAAGAACACCCGUAUGAGGCGUUAUUCUCUGCAUUGAGUCGAGAGCUGAAAGAUGCCCGCGAAAAGCUGAAAACAAUGCAGCAGCUCAACCGAAUGCUACGGGAGAAGUUCCGAUCUGAUCUGCAAGCAUCGGAGAGAAGCUCAUCGUAUUCAAGUUGACUUCUGUUGUGUUGUAUUUUUUAACCGGUUGAAUGAGUGAAGGGCACCGUAUUCAAGGAUUCUUUGACUCAGUUGUGUCUGCGUGGUAGUGUUCACGCGGGCGGACAGCAGACCACCGGAAAGUAACCGCAAAUAUUAUAGCGGACUCGCAAAUGCUCGUAAAAGGCCGUUACCUUUUUUUUUUCUCGAACUUACCGCGGCAGAGGCUUUAGAAAGGCGCGCAUAUCUGCACAAGAGAGGUUUCCUUUAUUUUUGUUCCAUAGCGAGUACAUCGUAUAUUUUUGUGCGGUGCUCAGUAUACAGAUGAGAAUUUUUCUUUUUUUUUCGGUUGGGGUUUUGCGCUUGUUCUGCAUCUCGUCGAACUUCCUCGCAGUGGCGCACGCGCACACCGACACUGUCACGGAAACACAGUGCUCUCAGCUGGUGCGGGUUUCGUUGCGUGUGGUGGCGGUUAAGCGCGCCAUUUUUCUGUUUCUUAUUUUCAAGUGUAUUUCUUAUAUCUCGCUUAUGUUUGGUGAAAGCAGAAGGAGGCGCUUGCGCUCUACCCACGAUGUUUAAUGACGCGUUUCUUGCAUCGCCGUGAUUACUUCGCAAAAGGGCAGAGGCGCGUUUUUAUUGUCCCCGCAAAAAAAUGUCGUUCCCACGCUGCCUCGCCGUCUCCCAACAAAAGCAUGAACCCACGGCGAAAAAACGAAGAGGAGGCGCAUGAGCAGUCGAUCAAGCCUAGCAGACCACUCCUUUCACAAGUGGACAGUUGUGUGCUGUUGUGGUGGAGACGCAUCCGAAGCGGAAGAAAUAGAAACAAGGCGUUUGCCCACUUGCCUUCCUGCAUCACGCUUUUUGUUGUUCUCUACGGCUGUCGUCAGCGCGGAGUGCACGUUGACAUGAUCAUCCGCCGCUCCUACCCUUGCCGGCUUUCGUUGCUGUCUACUUGUUACUUUGCCCGGAAGACACUUAGCAAAG